AGUUUGAUCCUGGCUCAGGAUGAACGCUAGGGCAGGCCUAAUACAUGCAAGUCGAACGGGAUCGGCGCCUUCGGCUUGCCGUGAGAGUGGCGCACGGGUGCGUAACGCGUAUGCAACCCACCCCGUCCUGCGGGAGAGCCGGUGGAAACGCCGGGUGAUACCGCAUGAAGCCGGUUGCGGGCAUCCGCUUCCGGUGAAAGCAGCGAUGCGGGAGGGGACGGGCAUGCGUUCCAUUAGCUAGUCGGCGGGGUGACGGCCCACCGAGGCGACGAUGGAUAGGGGAUCUGAGAGGACGGUCCCCCACACUGGUACUGAGACACGGACCAGACUCCUGCGGGAGGCAGCAGUAAGGGAUAUUGGGCAAUGGGGGGAACCCUGACCCAGCCAUGCCGCGUGAGGGAGUGAGGCCCUACGGGUCGUGAACCUCUUUUGGAGGGGGAUAAAGCGCUCCGCUUGACGGUGCGUUGCAGGUACCCUCCGAAUAAGCAUCGGCUAACUCCGUGCCAGCAGCCGCGGUAAUACGGAGGAUGCGAGCGUUAUCCGGAUUUAUUGGGUUUAAAGGGUGCGCAGGCGGCCUGUCAAGUCAGUGGUGAAAGGCAGGGGCUCAACCCCGG
Molecule: ribosomal RNA, 614 nt
Filed under: uncultured bacterium
Lineage: Bacteria
Description: bacterial SSU rRNA
Rfam family: Bacterial small subunit ribosomal RNA
Source: RNAcentral